This 427-nucleotide ribosomal RNA is filed under the name uncultured bacterium. RNAcentral's name for it is "partial 16S ribosomal RNA". It matches the Rfam family "Bacterial small subunit ribosomal RNA", at positions 354 to 796 of the family's 1533-position model. The record is from RNAcentral.
GUGGGGAAUAUUGGGCAAUGGGGGAAACCCUGACCCAGCAACGCCGCGUGAAGGAAGAAGGCUUUCGGGUUGUAAACUUCUUUUAUGAGGGACGAAGAAGUGACGGUACCUCAUGAAUAAGCCACGGCUAACUACGUGCCAGCAGCCGCGGUAAUACGUAGGUGGCAAGCGUUGUCCGGAUUUACUGGGUGUAAAGGGCGCGUAGGCGGGAUAGCAAGUCAGGUGUGAAAUCCGGGGGCUCAACCCUCGAACUGCACUUGAAACUGUUAUUCUUGAGUGAUGGAGAGGCAGGCGGAAUUCCUAGUGUAGCGGUGAAAUGCGUAGAUAUUAGGAGGAACACCAGUGGCGAAGGCGGCCUGCUGGACAUUAACUGACGCUGAGGCGCGAAAGCGUGGGGAGCAAACAGGAUUAGAAACCCCAGUAGUCC